UUACAACCACAACAAUAAAGAAUAAUAAUUCUGCGACAACAGACGACACAUUCCGAAACACUGCCGCUUCAAAUGUCAACGUUUUGGCGAUUCUAGCGACAGCUGGGCCAUUUAUAUUGCUGGAUAUUGGACUAAUUGUGUGUGUAUAUAGAAAGAAACUGAAUGCUUGUCGGAGUCGUAAAGUUGGUCGAGGUGCCAAUGUAGUCACUGUAAGUUUCAACGGAGGUUCGGUUCAUAUUGAACAAGACAAUAUUGUAGUUGGAUGUGGUAAUGCUACAUAUUCUGAUGGGCCGUUAUCAUCAAAUCCAAAUACUAGCUGCAACACUACAGCACCAAUGGAACAGUUACCAUGCGGAGGCAAUGACGAAGACGAUGAUGAUCCAUUGUAUAGCAGAGCAAAACACAAUGACGCAAGACGUCCCG
This is a long non-coding RNA of Dreissena polymorpha, 423 nucleotides long. RefSeq lists it as uncharacterized. NCBI's taxonomy places the organism in Eukaryota, Metazoa, Mollusca, Bivalvia, Myida, Dreissenidae. The transcript has 5 exons. The record is from RefSeq and is a predicted model, not a curated record.